AGCCCGGUGGUGUAGCGGCCAAGCAUGGCGGGCUUUGGACCCGCAGAGCCUCAGGGCGCGGAGAUCCCGGGUUCGAAUCCCGGCCGGGCUACCA
RNAcentral lists this transfer RNA (94 nucleotides) under Thermofilum sp. RNAcentral's name for it is "tRNA-Gln". It matches the Rfam family "tRNA". Rfam says of the family: Transfer RNA (tRNA) molecules are approximately 80 nucleotides in length. Their secondary structure includes four short double-helical elements and three loops (D, anti-codon, and T loops). Lineage: Archaea; Thermoproteati; Thermoproteota; Thermoprotei; Thermofilales; Thermofilaceae. The record is from RNAcentral.